CUAAAACCAGUAAACAAAUCCCUAGUAGCCAUUUCAAUCACGUUUAGCUCUGUCAUUUGUAUAAUCUUGGUCUGUGUUGUUGGUUACAUAGUACUCUUUUUUUAUCAAAUAAUAUAUACUUAUAUCUUACAACAGUACUUUUUAUGAUUAAUAUAGAAUAUAUGCUGGACAGAACGACAUAUUUAGUACACCAAGACAGAUCAGAAUCUAAUUCAAUUGGUACAGCAUAUUAAUUUAAUGCAUGCCAGUUAGCUUAUACCCAUAAAAAA
Molecule: long non-coding RNA, 269 nt
Filed under: Populus trichocarpa (black cottonwood)
Lineage: Eukaryota; Viridiplantae; Streptophyta; Magnoliopsida; Malpighiales; Salicaceae
Description: long non-coding RNA (PTRI_LNC002855)
Source: RNAcentral